GACGAACGCUGGCGGCGUGCCUAAUACAUGCAAGUGGGACGCAAGGAAACACACUGUGCUUGCACACCGUGUUUUCUUGAGUCGCGAACGGGUGAGUAACGCGUAGGUAACCUGCCUAUUAGCGGGGGAUAACUAUUGGAAACGAUAGCUAAUACCGCAUAAUAUUAAUUAUUGCAUGAUAAUUGAUUGAAAGAUGCAAGCGCAUCACUAGUAGAUGGACCUGCGUUGUAUUAGCUAGUUGGUAAGGUGAGAGCUUACCAAGGCGACGAUACAUAGCCGACCUGAGAGGGUGAUCGGCCACACUGGGACUGAGACACGGCCCAGACUCCUACGGGAGGCAGCAGUAGGGAAUCUUCGGCAAUGGACGAAAGUCUGACCGAGCAACGCCGCGUGAGUGAAGAAGGUUUUCGGAUCGUAAAGCUCUGUUGUAAGUCAAGAACGUGUGCGAGAGUGGAAAGUCACACAGGG
RNAcentral lists this ribosomal RNA (468 nucleotides) under Streptococcus mutans. Its description in RNAcentral is "bacterial SSU rRNA". It matches the Rfam family "Bacterial small subunit ribosomal RNA", at positions 28 to 471 of the family's 1533-position model. The record is from RNAcentral. Lineage: Bacteria; Bacillati; Bacillota; Bacilli; Lactobacillales; Streptococcaceae.